Molecule: long non-coding RNA, 199 nt
Filed under: Brassica napus (rape)
Lineage: Eukaryota; Viridiplantae; Streptophyta; Magnoliopsida; Brassicales; Brassicaceae
Description: long non-coding RNA (BNAP_LNC001323)
Source: RNAcentral
UUGAACAUGAAGGCUGCGGAUGGUUCCAUAUGGGACUGCUCUGGAAGAGUUUGCAAAGGUUAGGGUCAGCUGAGAACGCUCAACAUCAGCAAUACCCAAAUCGUCUACAAUAGCCUUUGAGACGAGAUUCACACAAGAACCAGAGUCACACAGAGCAUCCUUGAAGGUUGUUCCUGCGAUGGAGCAUGGGAAAACAAAC